GCCCCCAUCGUCUAGUGG
Molecule: non-coding RNA, 18 nt
Filed under: Arabidopsis thaliana (thale cress)
Lineage: Eukaryota; Viridiplantae; Streptophyta; Magnoliopsida; Brassicales; Brassicaceae
Also listed under: 1 other name
Source: RNAcentral